Ceratotherium simum simum (southern white rhinoceros) is the source of this 98-nucleotide non-coding RNA. The record is from RefSeq and is a predicted model, not a curated record. Lineage: Eukaryota; Metazoa; Chordata; Mammalia; Perissodactyla; Rhinocerotidae.
UUCUAAAUUUCCAUUGCUCAUAAUCAUAUCAUCUUUAAAUAAUGACAGUUUUGUUUCUUCCUUUCCAAUCUUUAUAAUUCUUAUUUCUUUUUCUUACC